AUUUUUUAAAAUUAAAAAAUAAAAGGAGAAUAUGAUUUACCUUACACAUGGGGGCAACCAAGACUGCCCCAUCCCAGUAAUCUGGCUUCUUCCUAUGUACCAACAACAACACUGCUCCACCCAUGGAUUCCCCUAACAAAUAUCUCAUCUU
Hibiscus syriacus is the source of this 151-nucleotide long non-coding RNA. RefSeq lists it as uncharacterized. NCBI's taxonomy places the organism in Eukaryota, Viridiplantae, Streptophyta, Magnoliopsida, Malvales, Malvaceae. The record is from RefSeq and is a predicted model, not a curated record. The transcript has 3 exons.